RNAcentral lists this ribosomal RNA (729 nucleotides) under uncultured eukaryote. RNAcentral describes it as "SSU rRNA". It matches the Rfam family "Eukaryotic small subunit ribosomal RNA", at positions 670 to 1426 of the family's 1831-position model. The record is from RNAcentral.
CGGGUGCACUGAUCCAGCCGGGCCUUUCCCUCUGUGGAACCCCAUGGCCUUCACUGGCUGUGGCAGGGAAACAGGACUUUUACUUUGAAAAAAUUAGAGUGCUCCAGGCAGGCCUAUGCUCGAAUACAUUAGCAUGGAAUAAUAGAAUAGGACGUGUGGUUCUAUUUUGUUGGUUUCUAGGACCGCCGUAAUGAUUAAUAGGGACAGUCGGGGGCAUCAGUAUUCAAUUGUCAGAGGUGAAAUUCUUGGAUCUAUUGAAGACUAACUACUGCGAAAGCAUUUGCCAAGGAUGUUUUCAUUGAUAAGGAACGAAAGUUAGGGGAUCGAAGACGAUCAGAUACCGUCGUAGUCUUAACUAUAAACUAUGCCGACUAGGGAUCGGACGAUGUUAUUCUUUGACGCGUUCGGCACCUUUCGAGAAAUCAAAGUGCUUGGGCUCCAGGGGGAGUAUGGUCGCAAGGCUGAAACUUAAAGAAAUUGACGGAAGGGCACCACCAGGGGUGGAACCUGCGGCUUAAUUUGACUCAACACGGGGAAACUCACCAGGUCCAGACACAGUGAGGAUUGACAGAUUGAGAGCUCUUUCUUGAUUCUGUGGGUGGUGGUGCAUGGCCGUUCUUAGUUGGUGGAGUGAUUUGUCUGCUUAAUUGCGAUAACGAACGAGACCUUAACCUGCUAAAUAGCCCGUACUGCUUUGGCAGUUCGCCGGCUUCUUAGAGGGACUAUCGG